UGAACAAACUAACUAAACAAGCUUCCCUAUCAAGCGGAAGAAGAGACGUAGAAACUAACCUCUCCUAAACCAAGGCAGAAACGAAGCACCACCACCGAACACACCGCCGCACACACUCGCCGCCUCGCCGCACACAUGAGCCACACUGCUGCACACACCAAAAACUACAUAGCACCACCACGCGAAAUGCAUAGAUAAAUAAAAGAGGACGAUUGGGAGAGUUGGGAGUAAAAGGUUAAAAAAAAUGAAACGGAUUUAGGUGAGUGAGAAGGGGAAACAGAUUUAGGUGAGAAGAGGAGGUGGGAGUGUUGUGUUCCUGUUAGUGAGUGAAACAGAAAAUAGAAAAGUAGAAAUCUAAGAUUAUUUAAUUAAAGAGGAUUAAAAAGUAAAAAAUAAAGUAAAAGAAAAAGUUAUUUUGGUAAUAUAAAAAAAAUUACAGAAAAUACAGAAAAUACAGAGAGGUGCAAGGUGGAAACACGAAGGUGAAAGAAAUAACAUCCAAAUAAAUAAAGUAGCAUACGGCCCAUUCAGAUAUUUUUUUAGAAGAAU
RNAcentral lists this long non-coding RNA (549 nucleotides) under Vigna radiata. RNAcentral's name for it is "long non-coding RNA (VRAD_LNC018111)". The record is from RNAcentral. Lineage: Eukaryota; Viridiplantae; Streptophyta; Magnoliopsida; Fabales; Fabaceae.